CUGCUUAAAGCACAAAGCCUGCUGUGUUUGACUACACAGCCACUGGAGUUGGUAGCAUUAAAUUCACAGUGCUGUGCUUUGAGUUACCUUGCAGAAUGAAAGACUACAUAUAUAAAACAAACUCUAUUCAUUUUUGACUCACCCUUCACUUUUCCACAGGAGAUAGUAUUAAUAUUAAAUUCCACUUCUCCCCAGGAACAGUAUCAUUUCCAUUCUGUUGUCAAAUAUCCUAGCAACACAGGAGUAGGGGGAAAGAGAAGGGGAGCAGGGGGAGAUAGAAAGUGUGACAGAGAGCUCUAGAAACUGAUGCAAGUGUUUUGCACAACCAUGGCCAUUGCCCUGCUUUUUUGGAUGACCACAUCUUUGCUGUUUUGCAAUGCAACUGACUGCUCUGACUCUCCCAGUGAAAUUCCUGCCCAGCCUUCAAAAACUAUUCAUGGGGCUGUUGAAAGCUAGUCUGCUGAUGAGUAGCAUCGUGCAUCCUAACAUCAGGCAGUGGUUUUGGGAAGCAGAACAUGCCCAUGCUAUGAGAACCAGACAGCAAACAGAUAUCUUCAUGAAGGCAGAAAGAAUCCAUCUAAAUCCUAUGAAAAUUCUUUGUAAUUCAAGCAAAACAGCUUCAGCUGUGCUGCUAAAUAGAGGGGAGAAGUUUCAGAUAAGUCUUAAUGCAAUGGAAUUUCAAUGUCUAACUGGCUUUCAUCGGUUGUUGUAGGCUGCAAAGUCUGCUGAAGAUCUGGAAAAUCUAAAAAACACAUUUUUAGGUCACAGGCAGCAGCACCACCAGGUCUCAUGACAAUGACCUAUCUGUUUCUUUUUCUCCUUUUUGGAACCCUGGCUCUCUCCGGCUCAGAAGGUGCUGGCAACUCCACAGCCAAGCAUCGCUAUGCUCGGUUCUUGUUUGAUGUUUUUGACAGACCUAAGCCUGAAUAUAACAUAAUUCCUAACCCACCUCAACAAGACUCAUCUGCAAAACAGAUCUGUCGAAGUCGGUGCCAGAAGGGCUGGAUUAGUUACAAAGGCCACUGUUAUAUGUUUGUUCAAGAGAGAAUGACAUGGAUGGAAGCUGAGAAAAUGUGUUCGGCUAAAAGUGCAGGAGGUCACCUAACCAGCAUUACCAGUGCAGAACAGAAUGAAUUCCUUCAUAAACUUUCUCAGGGACAAAAGGUUGCCCAGUUCUGGACAGGAGGAACUUACCAAAAGGGUUCGUUGUUGAAAUGGAGUGAUGGAUCUCUGAUAACCUUUGUCCAGAGGCCUCUGACAUCCAUUUUCCAUGCUGUUGGAGGACUAAUUAACAGCCUGUUUAACAUAAAACUUUGCCUGAUGGUCAAUAUUGGAGCAGGGGACUGCAGAUUCAAUAUCCGCAGAAACAGUCAUGGAAAGGCUGAGAAAAUAUACAUCUGUCUUACAAGGUCACCACACAGUGUGGCCCAUGGUGUUCAGACAGUAAGGCAGUACAGGCCACAAGCCUGUUGUGCCAUGGGAGGACAGGUCAGAAAGGUGGACUACGCUGCAGAUAUGCAGCUGUAG
Molecule: long non-coding RNA, 1527 nt
Filed under: Numida meleagris (helmeted guineafowl)
Lineage: Eukaryota; Metazoa; Chordata; Aves; Galliformes; Numididae
Description: lncRNA (ENSNMEG00000006700.1)
Source: RNAcentral